RNAcentral lists this transfer RNA (73 nucleotides) under Ornithorhynchus anatinus (platypus). It matches the Rfam family "tRNA". From Rfam's summary of the family: Transfer RNA (tRNA) molecules are approximately 80 nucleotides in length. Their secondary structure includes four short double-helical elements and three loops (D, anti-codon, and T loops). The record is from Rfam by way of RNAcentral. Lineage: Eukaryota; Metazoa; Chordata; Mammalia; Monotremata; Ornithorhynchidae.
GGCAGUGUGGCUUAAUGGAUAGAGCAUGGGCCUGGGAGUCGGAAAGACCUGGGUUCUAAUCCCAGCUCCACCA